RNAcentral lists this transfer RNA (67 nucleotides) under Oedipina taylori (Taylor's worm salamander). Its description in RNAcentral is "tRNA-Val". The record is from RNAcentral. Lineage: Eukaryota; Metazoa; Chordata; Amphibia; Caudata; Plethodontidae.
CAGAACAUAGCUUAAAUAAAGCAUUUUGUUUACACCAAAAAAAUAUUUAUUAACUUAAAUUGUUCUG